Molecule: ribosomal RNA, 493 nt
Filed under: uncultured bacterium
Lineage: Bacteria
Description: partial 16S ribosomal RNA
Rfam family: Bacterial small subunit ribosomal RNA
Source: RNAcentral
GACGAACGCUGGCGGCGUGCUUAACACAUGCAAGUCGAACGGUGAAGGGACCGGUUUUUGCUGGUUCUGGAUGAGUGGCGAACGGGUGAGUAACACGUGAGUAACCUGCCCCCUUCUUCUGGAUAACCGCAUGAAAGUGUGGCUAAUACGGGAUAUUCUGCGCCUGCUGCAUGGUGGGUGUGGGAAAGAUAUUGUUUCGGUGGGGGAUGGGCUCGCGGCCUAUCAGCUUGUUGGUGGGGUGAUGGCCUACCAAGGCGGUGACAGGUAGCCGGCCUGAGAGGGUGGACGGUCACACUGGGACUGAGACACGGCCCAGACUCCUACGGGAGGCAGCAGUGGGGAAUAUUGCACAAUGGGCGCAAGCCUGAUGCAGCGACGCCGCGUGAGGGAUGGAGGCCUUCGGGUUGUAAACCUCUUUCGCCAGUGAAGCAGGCCUGUCCCUUGUGUGGGUGGGUUGACGGUAGCUGGAUAAGAAGCGCCGGCUAACUACGUG